AGAGUUUGAUCAUGGCUCAGACUGUAAAGAGUGGCGGAAUGCUUUACACAUGCAAGUCGAACGGUACCCUUGGCCGCAAGGUGCUGACGAGUGGCGAACGGGUGAGUAAUGCAUCGGAACGUGCCCAGUCGUGGGGGAUAACGCAGCGAAAGCUGCGCUAAUACCGCAUACGAUCUAUGGAUGAAAGCGGGGGACCGUAAGGCCUCGCGCGAUUGGAGCGGCCGAUGUCAGAUUAGGUAGUUGGUGGGGUAAAGGCUCACCAAGCCAACGAUCUGUAGCUGGUCUGAGAGGACGACCAGCCACACUGGGACUGAGACACGGCCCAGACUCCUACGGGAGGCAGCAGUGGGGAAUUUUGGACAAUGGGCGCAAGCCUGAUCCAGCAAUGCCGCGUGCAGGAAGAAGGCCUUCGGGUUGUAAACUGCUUUUGUACGGAACGAAACGGCUCUGGUUAAUACCUGGGGCUAAUGACGGUACCGUAAGAAUAAGCACCGGCUAACUACGUGCCAGCAGCCGCGGUAAUACGUAGGGUGCAAGCGUUAAUCGGAAUUACUGGGCGUAAAGCGUGCGCAGGCGGUUUUGUAAGACAGGCGUGAAAUCCCCGGGCUCAACCUGGGAAUGGCGCUUGUGACUGCAAAGCUGGAGUGCGGCAGAGGGGGAUGGAAUUCCGCGUGUAGCAGUGAAAUGCGUAGAUAUGUGG
This 700-nucleotide ribosomal RNA is filed under the name uncultured bacterium. RNAcentral describes it as "bacterial SSU rRNA". It matches the Rfam family "Bacterial small subunit ribosomal RNA", at positions 8 to 701 of the family's 1533-position model. The record is from RNAcentral.